Non-coding RNA from Gemmatimonadetes bacterium 13_1_40CM_69_22, 93 nucleotides. The record is from Rfam. NCBI's taxonomy places the organism in Bacteria, Pseudomonadati, Gemmatimonadota.
ACGCAGCUCAGAUGCUGUGAUCCUCGAGGCGCGCUAUCGUGCGGCUCGCCCAAGCCUCGGGGGGAGCGAAUCGCGAAACCGGCUGAGUGGGAC